This is a long non-coding RNA of Homo sapiens (human), 1746 nucleotides long. RefSeq annotates it as SCFD2 antisense RNA 2. The record is from RefSeq and is a predicted model, not a curated record. The transcript has 3 exons. Lineage: Eukaryota; Metazoa; Chordata; Mammalia; Primates; Hominidae.
AUAAAACGAUAGGGAGAAAGAACAUGGAAAAUAAAAUGCCAGGUUGUUAACAGAAAAAAGAAGACAUUUAAAGUUUUUUGUUUUUUUUUUUUUUAGACAGGGUGUUGCUCUGCAUUCAUAGUGGAAUACAGUGGUGUGAUCACAUCUCACUGCAGCCUCAAUCUCCUGGGCUCAAGCAAUCCUCCCACCUUCGCCUCCUGAGUAGCUGGGACUAUAGUCAUGUACCACAAUGCCCAGCUAAUUAUUUUUUUUCUUUCAGAGAUGGUGGAUCUCACUUUGCUGCCCAGGCUAGUCUUGAACUUUUGGCUCAAGUGAUCCUCCUGCCUCAGUCUCUCGAAGUGUUAGAAUUAUAGGCGUGAGUCACCAUGCCUAGCCUAAAGUAUUUUAAUACCGACAAAAAUAUUUCCUUAAACAGGAUUUGAAUUCUGAGCUUUCCAUCUACCAGCACUAUAUAUUCCCUUUCCAGGUAGCAGUUUGGCUACUCUAGUCUAGUGCCUUCAGAAUUCUGAAAAGCUCUUCUGGGCUUUCACUUUCCAUUUCAUCAAAGAGAAAAAGAGAUUCAGUCUUCCUUUAUGGGAACCCCAUUUGGGAUCAGAGUUUGGCUCUCAGGCCACGGUCUAAAACAUAUACAUACCAUAUGUGUUCAAUAAAUGUUCAUUUUUUUCUUUCUCAUCCUUUGUUCUCUACUCUCUUAUUUCCAAUCCAGUUUGCAUGUCCAAUUAUCAGGUCUAUCAGAAUAAGCCUUAAAAUACCAAUUUCAUUAGGUGACUUUCUUGCUCAAAAUCUUCCAGUGACUCCCAGCUGCCCAUAGAAUGUAGCCUGAACUUCUCUUCCUGGUAUUCAAGGCCCUCUGUAAUCUGACUACAAUAUACUUUAAAAUUCUCUAACACACUUUAAAGACAAAUUUCUAUUGGGCCAAUCUUCUCACCAAUUCCUGCCUUUAAGUGCCAGGCCCUAACCAAAUUUCUCACUGGGCCUGAGUUUAGGCAUAUCUUUUGCAAGAGGAUUGGCUGCUCCACUCCUGCCCCGAUAGAUCACAGUAGCCUUAGUAUAGCUACCAGGUAAGGGUGCCUCCUGUAUAUCAUGCACUUUUCAUACAUUAUCUUUUUUCAUCAUCAUAAUAACUUGUAAAGACCACAUUCUGAUUCCAUUUUACAAAUAAGGAAGUUGGAGCUCAGUGACAUUGUGACGUAAGACCAUGUUGUUGUUAUGAAGUGGUGAAAACAGGAUUCUCUCCUAAGACGGUUGCUAGAGCCAUUGCUCUGCCCCUGCCUCUAUGCUGACUUCAUUCAUCUCUUCUGCUCUGAACCUUGUCCAGUUUUAUCUUUGGAAUCACUUAUUUGACACUUACACUCCUUCUGUCUUGAACUGGUAAUUACAUGAUCCAUUUGUGCUUAUCUUCCCAACACGGCUGUUAGAGGGCAGUGGCUUCAUGCUAUUAACAAAUCACCUCCAUCAGCAUUGAGCAUAGUACUAUGGCAUAGCACAAAUGCAGUGGGGGUGUCUAAUUCUUCUGAAAAUGUGACAGCUCUUCGACCUGACAGCCCUUCUGCCCUGACUGGUCACAUGUGAGGGAAUGUGUGUACUGUCUGGUGACUGCUAAAUGUGGCCCAGGCAUUCACUUACCCAGUGCACAAGACCCAGCAGCAUCACCAGCAAGCUUGUGGAGUAAAUCAGAUGAACAGUGUGUGAGAAUUGGAAAACGUGUCCCAAAGAAUAAGCACAACAGAAUGGCGUACCUUCUUU